Molecule: long non-coding RNA, 4855 nt
Filed under: Volvox carteri
Lineage: Eukaryota; Viridiplantae; Chlorophyta; Chlorophyceae; Chlamydomonadales; Volvocaceae
Description: long non-coding RNA (VCAR_LNC002602)
Source: RNAcentral
GAGAACGUUGGUGGUGGUGGUGGUGAAGGUGGUGGUGGUGGUAAAGGUGGCGGUGAAGGUGGUGGUGGUGGAGGAACUGCAAAGACUCUGGGGCAAAAAUCGGCCGGCGCGCUGCCCGCAAAGUCUCCAGUGCAAUUCCUAGUCGUGAGCAGCGCCCAGCGAUUGCCCAGGUAGUUGACACAGGUCAGGUCCAGCAGUCCAUCACCAUCGCAAUCGAGGACCCUUAGGACGUCCCCCAUUUCCGCAUUCACGCACCAACCGGCAGGUGGAGUGCAACCUGAACAUGCAGAAAAUAGAUAGGGCGAUCGCUGGAAUCGCAAUUCCUUACAUGCCUUAAGAGAAUGUACGAUGCAGGGAUAAAGGUUCAAAUGUGGGUCGAGGCACCCAUUUCUCGGGGACUGUAGCUUGGAUUGCCCCGCUUUUUAAUUGACUCUGUACCACGGUUAAUGAUUGCAUAGCCCGCUGACGGAUAUGUGUGCGCCUUCAGCCACUCUCACAGGUACCAUCAGGCGUACAUCUGAAAGGGCGUCUGAAGGUGGGUCGGUUAAUGAACGUCCAACCACAGCAAUUAUCCAAUGGUCGAUUGCGAGAGACUGGAAACUGUUAUACCACGGCUUGAGAAAUGUGUCAAUCGGCGGAUGCAGAUCCCGUGAUAUGCCCAGGUUACUACAAUUAUCCCCCCACUAGCAACAGAGGGCGAUCUCGACCUUAGGGUUGCUGUGUAAUAGGAGAGCUCGACAAUACUCCCUGGGCUCGACAACAUCCCCGAGCAAAAAUGCUGCAACUGAGAUUCGAACCUGGGACGAAACCGAGUCAUAUGUACGAUGCCAGUAAUUAAAGUACGACUUCAGGAAACCACAUAUGUGGAAAAUAUAAGGAAUUGUAACCAAGGUUCAUCGUCCUUGAUAAGACUUUCCUAAACCUUUUUUCGUUUGUAGGGAAGUCAAGAAACGUGCAGAGAAGGUAAUCGGUCAGCUAGCCACUGGCAGCAACUUAUAUGUGGCGACGGACGCGAGUGGGACGCUACCCUUAUCCCUGUGUGCAGAUGACAAAUACCCCUCCAACGAUGCGUAUUGUAUUUGCAGGCAACGUCAACCUUUCACUGCAUUUGAUAGCCCCAUGCAGCACACACGCAGUUGCACUGCGGUGCGUGGUCCGUGGCGACUGCAUGAGGAUACAUCAUCAAGAUGGCAGGUACCGUAUAAACCCCGUUGAAGAACAGGCCGCGGUGCAUGGGUACAGAACGGAGCUCACCUGUGAAUGUUGGUGAAGGUGGUGGUGAAGGCGGUGGUGGUGGUGGAACUGCAAAGACUCUGGGGCAAACAUUGGCCGGCGCACUGCCCGCAAAGUCUCCAGUGCAAUUCCUAGUUGUAAGCAGCGCAUAGCGGUUGCCCAGGUAGUUGACACAGGUCAGGUCCAGCCGUCCAUCGCCAUCGCAAUCGAGGACCCUAAAGACGUCCCCCAUAUCAGGGUUCACGCACCAACCGUCAGGCGGUGUGCAACCUGAACAUGCACACAGCCGAUGUGUUUGGAAGGAAAAAAGAGGUGUACGGCAGGUAGAGGUAGGAUUAGUUGAUUAGUCAAACAGCCACUUGCCGUUCAACUGGGCUCCACUGUUUAACCAGGUGAGUUUACAUAUCCUCGCCAACUGUAACUCCAACGGGUUUCGGUCAUCCCGUUGAAUUCAUAGCAGUGCGUGUGCAGGUUAAGUAACGAAACCCUCCCACUGCAUCCAACCUAAGCCCCCCAUGUAGUAGCCGGUACACAGUACGGCACUACAAGUACGCGUGAAGCGCUUGACCAGCAUCUUGGGAGGACUUUUCAGCGGCCAGCUACUACACCCGCCGCCUGAAUGAAUGAUUUUUACCACCUAUUAAUCGUGUCCUGGUAUAUUACACAGGAACCGUCCUCAACUCUUAUAAACCAGGACACGGUGUUUUAUAGAUUUAAACCAGUAUGCAUGCACGGCGGCAUGCCGCAUGCAGUUGCACGACAACACUACUUGACACAGUAUGUCCUCUCAGACAGGAUGAGUGCUCCGUAAAUAGUCCAUUCCUUAAAGCCCCGGCUUCGGGCACCAAGGCCGAGCUCACCUGUGAAUGUUGGUGAAGGUGGUGGUGAAGGCGGUGGUGGUGGUGGAACUGCAAAGACUCUGGGGCAAACAUCUGCCGGCGCACUGCCCCCAAAGUCUCCAUCACAAUUCGUAGUCGUGAGCAGCGCCCAGCGGUUGCCCAGCUUGUUGACACAGGUCAGGUCCAGCAGUCCAUCACCAUCGCAAUCGAGGACCCUUAGGACGUCCCCCAUAUCAGGGUUCACGCACCAACCAGAAGGUAUUUUGCAACCUGCCCAUGCAGCAAAUGUGUUCGUAGGGAGGUUAGGGAGCGUGCAAAGGGGUCAACCGGCCAGACACUUAUCAAUGAUUCAACUGUAUUUGUAACCAGACAGGCUUACCCACGGCAAUCGUAAACGAGAUGUAUUAAUUCACCGUGAACAGUGCCCAGCAAUCAUAGUCAAGCUUAUACAACAUUUGAUGCCCGGAUGCCACACGCUCGCUGCUGCACGUGCGGCACCACUCCGUGGCUACUACUGCACACAUGCAACAACUAUAUAUAUGGUGUGCGGGACAGGGGAACUUAGCUUCACCAGUGGCCGCUACCCAGCGAAACCCUGCCUUCCUCGGUACUUUGGGCCAUCCUCAUCUAGUCACCUUGCCGACUUCUCAGUGGAUCGCUCAGGAUCAGCACCCAUUACCAUCAGACCGGCAUCUAACGGAACCUACCGGAUCAAUGGCGGCUAAUCUUCGUUCCUGCUCAGCUCGCAGGACUAUUUUAUCCCAGGUCACUACCGUCCCUCAACUAGGGUCACUUUCACCUCCUACUGGCACCAUCAGAAGGACCUUUCAACCCUGAUAGGCCCCGGUCCCGAAAACUCCCAGCCGAUCCCAUGUAUCGACGUAUCCUGCGACGCUUCUGAAAGCAGACUGAUUCCAAUUCCGGCUUGACUGCUGCCAUCUAUCUGAUUGUGUGCGGCGUAUUAUACCAAUUGUCCAGUACAGCCGUCUAGCCCGUUGCUAGUGUGCGUUCAUUGUUGUUAGCUGGUCUGGACGUGCAUGCCGACCGACUAGCUGCCAUGCUGCUGUCUGUCAUUACCCAAAUGCCACUCCAGGCCGACGACUGUGAAUUCAUACGCCCAACCAGAAGCUGCCAAUUCGGCUACCGGGACACAGAUGUCUUAGCCUUAGCCAGUACAGCAGCUAGACUCUACACAAACAAAAAGGGUGGUCCUCGAUUCCGUCUGUUAGACGUGUCAUCGUUUGUAGAUCGUGCAGUAGUGAUAGAGACGGUUUCUAUUGUAGUACCCGAGGCAUAUCACCGUGUUUGCAUCUGCCGAUAAGUAUUUUUCUGAAGUGAUAUAACUGAAGGUUUUCUGAGUGCAACGCUAGAAAACCAAGGUUUUCUGUGAACUCAGAGGAGUUGUGCCCUCGUAAGGGCGUUGGUACGGCACUUGGUGCCAGUUAAGGAGUUCGCGAGUGCUUGGAGGACUGAUUUUCGGGUUUUGUAGCUACAUAGGGUGGUUGCCGUGAGGCUGUAGGCGUCAAGGCCGUAGCGAUAGCCUUCGCGGUAGCCGGCCCUCACCCGGCCUACCUACCGAUUGAAGACGGCUGUUUACUGCUUGCAGGUACCCGUAGUGUGUAACGAACGAUGAUUUCUCAUGAAAACACCUAUCUAAUAUACCAGGGGCACAAUCGAUUUGUGUCUCAUGAAGCAUACUAACACAUUCGCCGCAUACUGAAUGGAGCCGAGGCCAUGAGGAAUAAGGUCGUCGAGCUCACCUGUGAAUCUCGGCGGCGGUGGGGGAGGGGGAGUAGGCGGCGGUGGGGGAGGACCUGCAAACGCCCUGGGGCAGAUAGUGACGGGCGCGCUGCCCGCAAAGUCUCCAGUGCAAUUCCUAGUUGUGAGCAGCGCAUAGCGGUUGCCCAGCUUGUUGACACAGGUCAGGUCCAGCCGUCCAUCGCCAUCGCAAUCGAGGACCCUAAACAGGUCCUCCAUUUCAACGCUCACGCACCAACCGUCAGGCGGUGUGCAACCUUUCCAAGCACGCAGCCAAUGUGUAUGGAGGGAAACGAAAAGGUGUACGGCAGGAGUGGGGAUGGGAUUAGUUGGUUAGUCAGGCGGCAACCACUUGCCGCCCAUUCAUAGCAGUGCGUGUGCAGGUGAAGUAAGGAAACCCUCCCACUGCAUCCAACAUAAGUCCCGUUGCAUUGGCUGGUACACAGUACGGCAGACAUAAUAACUACAAAUACGCGUGAAACGCUUGACCAGCAUCUCGGGAGGCCUUUUCAGUGGCCAGCUGGCCAGCUACUACACCCGCCACCUGAAUGAUUUUUACCAUAUAUUAUUUGUGUCCUGGUAUAUUACACAGGACCCGACCCUAGCUCUUAUACUAGGGCACUGUGUUUUAAAGAUUUAAACCAGUACACAUGCACGGCGGCAUGCCGCAUGCAGUUGCACGACAAUAUUACAACAUACACAGCAUGUCCGCUCAGACAGAAGAGUGCUCCAUAAAUGCUCCAAUUCUUAAAGCCCGGGCUUCGGCGACCAGGGCUGAGCUCACCUGUGAACGUUGGUGGAGGUGGUGGUGAAGGUGGCGGUGGUGGUGGAACUGCAAAGACUCUAGGGCAAACAUUGGCCGGCGCACUGCCCGCAAAGUCUCCAGUGCAAUUCCUAGUUGUAAGCAGCGCAUAGCGGUUGCCCAGCUUGUUGACACAGGUCAGGUCCAGCAGUCCAUCGCCAUCGCAAUCGAGGACCCUAAAGACGUCCUCCAUUUCAACGCUCACGCACCAACCGUCAGGUGG